Molecule: ribosomal RNA, 1521 nt
Filed under: metagenome
Description: bacterial SSU rRNA
Rfam family: Bacterial small subunit ribosomal RNA
Source: RNAcentral
GAGUUUGAUCAUGGCUCAGAUUGAACGCUGGCGGCAGGCCUAACACAUGCAAGUCGAACGGUAACAGGAAACAGCUUGCUGUUUCGCUGACGAGUGGCGGACGGGUGAGUAAUGUCUGGGAAACUGCCUGAUGGAGGGGGAUAACUACUGGAAACGGUAGCUAAUACCGCAUAACGUCGCAAGACCAAAGAGGGGGACCUUCGGGCCUCUUGCCAUCAGAUGUGCCCAGAUGGGAUUAGCUAGUAGGUGGGGUAACGGCUCACCUAGGCGACGAUCCCUAGCUGGUCUGAGAGGAUGACCAGCCACACUGGAACUGAGACACGGUCCAGACUCCUACGGGAGGCAGCAGUGGGGAAUAUUGCACAAUGGGCGCAAGCCUGAUGCAGCCAUGCCGCGUGUAUGAAGAAGGCCUUCGGGUUGUAAAGUACUUUCAGCGGGGAGGAAGGGAGUAAAGUUAAUACCUUUGCUCAUUGACGUUACCCGCAGAAGAAGCACCGGCUAACUCCGUGCCAGCAGCCGCGGUAAUACGGAGGGUACAAGCGUUAAUCGGAAUUACUGGGCGUAAAGCGCACGCAGGCGGUUUGUUAAGUCAGAUGUGAAAUCCCCGGGCUCAACCUGGGAACUGCAUCUGAUACUGGCAAGCUUGAGUCUCGUAGAGGGGGGUAGAAUUCCAGGUGUAGCGGUGAAAUGCGUAGAGAUCUGGAGGAAUACCGGUGGCGAAGGCGGCCCCCUGGACGAAGACUGACGCUCAGGUGCGAAAGCGUGGGGAGCAAACAGGACUAGAUACCCUGGUAGUCCACGCCGUAAACGAUGUCGACUUGGAGGUUGUGCCCUUGAGGCGUGGCUUCCGGAGCUAACGCGUUAAGUCGACCGCCUGGGGAGUACGGCCGCAAGGUUAAAACUCAAAUGAAUUGACGGGGGCCCGCACAAGCGGUGGAGCAUGUGGUUUAAUUCGAUGCAACGCGAAGAACCUUACCUGGUCUUGACAUCCACGGAAGUUUUCAGAGAUGAGAAUGUGCCUUCGGGAACCGUGAGACAGGUGCUGCAUGGCUGUCGUCAGCUCGUGUUGUGAAAUGUUGGGUUAAGUCCCGCAACGAGCGCAACCCUUAUCCUUUGUUGCCAGCGGUCCGGCCGGGAACUCAAAGGAGACUGCCAGUGAUAAACUGGAGGAAGGUGGGGAUGACGUCAAGUCAUCAUGCCCCUUACGACCAGGGCUACACACGUGCUACAAUGGCGCAUACAAAGAGAAGCGACCUCGCGAGAGCAAGCGGACCUCAUAAAGUGCGUCGUAGUCCGGAUUGGAGUCUGCAACUCGACUCCAUGAAGUCGGAAUCGCUAGUAAUCGUGGAUCAGAAUGCCACGGUGAAUACGUUCCCGGGCCUUGUACACACCGCCCGUCACACCAUGGGAGUGGGUUGCAAAAGAAGUAGGUAGCUUAACCUUCGGGAGGGCGCUUACCACUUUGUGAUUCAUGACUGGGGUGAAGUCGUAACAAGGUAACCGUAGGGGAACCUGCGGUUG